RNAcentral lists this ribosomal RNA (1395 nucleotides) under Streptococcus sp. 2010_Ileo_MS_IXf. Its description in RNAcentral is "bacterial SSU rRNA". It matches the Rfam family "Bacterial small subunit ribosomal RNA". Lineage: Bacteria; Bacillati; Bacillota; Bacilli; Lactobacillales; Streptococcaceae. The record is from RNAcentral.
GAGAGGAGCUUGCUCUUCUUGGAUGAGUUGCGAACGGGUGAGUAACGCGUAGGUAACCUGCCUUGUAGCGGGGGAUAACUAUUGGAAACGAUAGCUAAUACCGCAUAACAAUGGAUGACACAUGUCAUUUAUUUGAAAGGGGCAAUUGCUCCACUACAAGAUGGACCUGCGUUGUAUUAGCUAGUAGGUGAGGUAACGGCUCACCUAGGCGACGAUACAUAGCCGACCUGAGAGGGUGAUCGGCCACACUGGGACUGAGACACGGCCCAGACUCCUACGGGAGGCAGCAGUAGGGAAUCUUCGGCAAUGGGGGCAACCCUGACCGAGCAACGCCGCGUGAGUGAAGAAGGUUUUCGGAUCGUAAAGCUCUGUUGUAAGUCAAGAACGAGUGUGAGAGUGGAAAGUUCACACUGUGACGGUAGCUUACCAGAAAGGGACGGCUAACUACGUGCCAGCAGCCGCGGUAAUACGUAGGUCCCGAGCGUUGUCCGGAUUUAUUGGGCGUAAAGCGAGCGCAGGCGGUUUGAUAAGUCUGAAGUUAAAGGCUGUGGCUCAACCAUAGUUCGCUUUGGAAACUGUCAAACUUGAGUGCAGAAGGGGAGAGUGGAAUUCCAUGUGUAGCGGUGAAAUGCGUAGAUAUAUGGAGGAACACCGGUGGCGAAAGCGGCUCUCUGGUCUGUAACUGACGCUGAGGCUCGAAAGCGUGGGGAGCGAACAGGAUUAGAUACCCUGGUAGUCCACGCCGUAAACGAUGAGUGCUAGGUGUUGGAUCCUUUCCGGGAUUCAGUGCCGCAGCUAACGCAUUAAGCACUCCGCCUGGGGAGUACGACCGCAAGGUUGAAACUCAAAGGAAUUGACGGGGGCCCGCACAAGCGGUGGAGCAUGUGGUUUAAUUCGAAGCAACGCGAAGAACCUUACCAGGUCUUGACAUCCCGAUGCUAUUUCUAGAGAUAGAAAGUUACUUCGGUACAUCGGUGACAGGUGGUGCAUGGUUGUCGUCAGCUCGUGUCGUGAGAUGUUGGGUUAAGUCCCGCAACGAGCGCAACCCCUAUUGUUAGUUGCCAUCAUUCAGUUGGGCACUCUAGCGAGACUGCCGGUAAUAAACCGGAGGAAGGUGGGGAUGACGUCAAAUCAUCAUGCCCCUUAUGACCUGGGCUACACACGUGCUACAAUGGUUGGUACAACGAGUUGCGAGUCGGUGACGGCAAGCUAAUCUCUUAAAGCCAAUCUCAGUUCGGAUUGUAGGCUGCAACUCGCCUACAUGAAGUCGGAAUCGCUAGUAAUCGCGGAUCAGCACGCCGCGGUGAAUACGUUCCCGGGCCUUGUACACACCGCCCGUCACACCACGAGAGUUUGUAACACCCGAAGUCGGUGAGGUAACCUUUGGAGCCAGCC